CCUACGGGUGGCAGCAGUGAGGAAUAUUGGUCAAUGGGCGCGAGCCUGAACCAGCCAAGUAGCGUGAAGGAUGACUGCCCUACGUGUUGUACACUUCUUUUAUAAAGGAAUAAAGUGAGGCACGUGAGCCUUUUUGUAUGUACUUUAUGAAUAAGGAUCGGAUAACUCCGUGCCAGCAGCCGCGGUAAUACGGAGGAUGCGAGCGUUAUCCGGAGUUAUUGGGUUUAAAGGGAUCGUAGAAGGGUUGUUAAGUCAGUUGUGAAAGUUUGCGGCUCAACCGUGAAAUUGCAAUUGAUACUGGCAGUCUUGAGUACAGUUGAGGUAGGCGGAAUUCGUGGUGUAGCGGUGAAAUGCUUAGAUAUCACGAAGAACUCCGAUUGCGAAGGCAGCUUACUAAACUGCCACUGACAUUGAUGCUCGAAAGUGUGGGUAUCAAACAGGAUUAGAUACCCUGGUAGUC
Molecule: ribosomal RNA, 460 nt
Filed under: uncultured bacterium
Lineage: Bacteria
Description: partial 16S ribosomal RNA
Rfam family: Bacterial small subunit ribosomal RNA
Source: RNAcentral